GGACUACAAGGGUUUCUAAUCCCGUUCGCUCCCCUGGCUUUCGCACCUCAGCGUCAGUUGCUUCCCAGGACACUGCCUUCGCCUUUGGUGUUCCUCCGGAUAUCUACGCAUUUCACCACUCCACCCGGAAUUCCGUGUCCCUCUGAAGCCCUCAAGUCUGCCAGUUUUCCCGCUCCUUCCUCAGUUAAGCCGAGGACUGUCAGCGGAAACUUCGCAGACCGCCUGCGUGCGCUUUACGCCCAGUAACUCCGGACAACGCUCGCCUCCUACGUAUUACCGCGGCUGCUGGCAC
Molecule: ribosomal RNA, 292 nt
Filed under: uncultured bacterium
Lineage: Bacteria
Description: partial 16S ribosomal RNA
Source: RNAcentral